GGUUAAGUUAGAAAGGGCGCACGGUGGAUGCCUUGGCACUAGGAGCCGAUGAAGGACGGGACGAACACCGAUAUGCUUCGGGGAGCUGUAAGCAAGCUUUGAUCCGGAGAUUUCCGAAUGGGGAAAACCCACCACUCGUAAUGGAGUGGUAUCCAUAUCUGAAUACAUAGGAUAUGAGAAGGCAGACCGGGGAACUGAAACAUCUAAGUACCGGAGGAAGAGAAAGCAAAUGCGAUUCCCUGAGUAGCGGCGAGCGAAACGGGACCAGCCCAAACCAAGAGGCUUGCCUCUUGGGGUUGUGAGGACACUCUGUACGGAGUUACAAAGGAACGAGGUAGAUGAAGAGGUCUGGAAAGGCCGCCAUAGAAGGUAACAGCCCUGUAGUCAAAACUUCGUUCUCUCCUGAGUGGAUCCUGAGUACGGCGGAACACGUGAAAUUCCGUCGGAAUCCGGGAGGACCAUCUCCCAAGGCUAAAUACUCCCUAGUGACCGAUAGUGAACCAGUACCGUGAGGGAAAGGUGAAAAGCACCCGGAAGGGGAGUGAAAGAGAUCCUGAAACCGUGUGCCUACAAGUAGUCAGAGCCCGUUAACGGGUGAUGGCGUUGCCUUUUGUAGAAUGAACCGGCGAGUUACGAUCCCGUGCAAGGUUAAGCAGAAGAUGCGGAGCCGCAGCGAAAGCGAGUCUGAAUAGGGCGAAUUGAGUACGUGGUCGUAGACCCGAAACCAGGUGAUUACCCAUGUCCAGGGUGAAGUUCAGGUAACACUGAAUGGAGGCCCGAACCCACGCACGUUGAAAAGUGCGGGGAUGAGGUGUGGGUAGGGGUGAAAUGCCAAUCGAACCUGGAGAUAGCUGGUUCUCUCCGAAAUAGCUUUAGGGCUAGCCUCAAGGUAAGAGUCUCGGAGGUAGAGCACUGAUUGGACUAGGGGCCCCUACCGGGUUACCGAAUUCAGUCAAACUCCGAAUGCGAUGAACUUAUCCUUGGGAGUCAGACUGCGAGUGAUAAGAUCCGUAGUCGAAAGGGAAACAGCCCAGACCGCCAGCUAAGGUCCCAAAGUAUACGUUAAGUGGAAAAGGAUGUGGAGUUGCUUAGACAACCAGGAUGUUGGCUUAGAAGCAGCCACCAUUUAAAGAGUGCGUAAUAGCUCAUGGUCGAGUGACUCUGCGCCGAAAAUGUACCGGGCUAAACGUAUCACGAAGCUGCGGACUGUUCUUCGAACAGUGGUAGGAGAGCGUUCUAAGGGCUGUGAAGCAAGACCGGAAGGACUUGUGGAGCGCUUAGAAGUGAGAAUGCGGUAUGAGUAGCGAAAGAGGGGUGAGAAUCCCUCCACGAAUGCUAAGGUUUCCUGAGGAAGGCUCGUCCGCUCAGGGUUAGUCGGGACCUAAGCGAGGCCGAAAGGCGUAGGCGAUGGAUAACAGGUUGAUAUUCCUGUACCACCUCCUCACCAUUUGAGCAAUGGGGGGACGCAGGAGGAUAGGGUAAGCGCGGUAUUGGAUAUCCGGUCCAAGCAGUUAGGCUGGGAAAUAGGCAAAUCCGUUUCCCGUGAAGGCUGAGCUGUGAUGGCGAGCGAAUUAUAGUAGCGAAGUUCCUGAUUCCACACUGCCAAGAAAAGCCUCUAGCGAGGUGAGAGGUGCCCGUACCGCAAACCGACACAGGUAGGCGAGGAGGAAUCCUAAGGUGAUCGAGAGAACUCUCGUUAAGGAACUCGGCAAAAUGACCCCGUAACUUCGGGAGAAGGGGGUGCUCUGUUAGGGUGCAAGCCCGAGAGAGCCGCAGUGAAUAGGCCCAGGCGACUGUUUAGCAAAAACACAGGUCUCUGCGAAGCCGUAAGGCGAAGUAUAGGGGCUGACGCCUGCCCGGUGCUGGAAGGUUAAGAGGAGCGCUUAGCGUAAGCGAAGGUGCGAAUUGAAGCCCAGUAAACGGCGGCCGUAACUAUAACGGUCCUAAGGUAGCGAAAUUCCUUGUCGGGUAAGUUCCGACCCGCACGAAAAGGCGCAACGAUCUGGGCACUGUCUCAACGAGAGAUCGGGUGAAAUUAUAGUACCUGUGAAGAUGCAGGUUACCCGCGACAGGACGGAAAGACCCGUGGAGCUUUACUGCAGCCUGAUAUUGAAUGUUGGUACAGCUUGUACAGGAUAGGUAGGAGCCUUGGAAACCGGAGCGCCAGCUUCGGUGGAGGCAUCGGUGGGAUACUACCCUGGCUGUAUUGACCUUCUAACCCGCCGCCCUUAUCGGGCGGGGAGACAGUGUCAGGUGGGCAGUUUGACUGGGGCGGUCGCCUCCUAAAAGGUAACGGAGGCGCCCAAAGGUUCCUCAGAAUGGUUGGAAAUCAUUCGCAGAGUGUAAAGGCACAAGGGAGCUUGACUGCGAGACCUACAGUCGAGCAGGGACGAAAGUCGGGCUUAUGAUCCGGUGGUUCCGCAUGGAAGGGCCAUCGCUCAACGGAUAAAAGCUACCCGGGGAUAUAACAGGCUUAUCUCCCCCAAGAGUCCACAUCGACGGGGAGGUUUGGCACCUCGAUGUCGGCUCAUCGCAUCCUGGGGCUGUAGUCGGUCCCAAGGGUUGGGCUGUUCGCCAUUAAAGCGGUACGCGAGCUGGGUUCAGAACGUCGUGAGACAGUUCGGUCCUAUCCGUCGCGGGCGCAGGAAAUUUGAGAGGAGCUGUCCUUAGUACGAGAGGACCGGGAUGGACGCACCGCUGGUGUUACCAGUUGUUCUGCCAAGGGCAUCGCUGGGUAGCUAUGUGCGGACGGGAUAAGUGCUGAAAGCAUCUAAGCAUGAAGCCCCCCUCAAGAUGAGAUUUCCCAUUCCGCAAGGAAGUAAGAUCCCUGAAAGAUGAUCAGGUUGAUAGGUCUGAGGUGGAAGUGUGGCGACACAUGGAGCUGACAGAUACUAAUCGAUCGAGGACUUAACCAA
This 2915-nucleotide ribosomal RNA is filed under the name Bacillus velezensis. RNAcentral describes it as "23S ribosomal RNA". It matches the Rfam family "Bacterial large subunit ribosomal RNA". The record is from RNAcentral. Lineage: Bacteria; Bacillati; Bacillota; Bacilli; Caryophanales; Bacillaceae.